AGGUGUGGCGCAGCUGGUAGCGCACUAGUUUUGGGAACUAGAUGCCGCAGGUUCGAGUCCUGUCACCU
This 68-nucleotide transfer RNA is filed under the name human gut metagenome. It matches the Rfam family "tRNA". From Rfam's summary of the family: Transfer RNA (tRNA) molecules are approximately 80 nucleotides in length. Their secondary structure includes four short double-helical elements and three loops (D, anti-codon, and T loops). The record is from RNAcentral.